RNAcentral lists this ribosomal RNA (1381 nucleotides) under Staphylococcus aureus. RNAcentral describes it as "partial 23S ribosomal RNA". It matches the Rfam family "Bacterial large subunit ribosomal RNA", at positions 1290 to 2667 of the family's 2925-position model. The record is from RNAcentral. Lineage: Bacteria; Bacillati; Bacillota; Bacilli; Caryophanales; Staphylococcaceae.
GAGAAUGCCGGUGUGAGUAGCGAAAGACGGGUGAGAAUCCCGUCCACCGAUUGACUAAGGUUUCCAGAGGAAGGCUCGUCCGCUCUGGGUUAGUCGGGUCCUAAGCUGAGGCCGACAGGCGUAGGCGAUGGAUAACAGGUUGAUAUUCCUGUACCACCUAUAAUCGUUUUAAUCGAUGGGGGGACGCAGUAGGAUAGGCGAAGCGUGCGAUUGGAUUGCACGUCUAAGCAGUAAGGCUGAGUAUUAGGCAAAUCCGGUACUCGUUAAGGCUGAGCUGUGAUGGGGAGAAGACAUUGUGUCUUCGAGUCGUUGAUUUCACACUGCCGAGAAAAGCCUCUAGAUAGAAAAUAGGUGCCCGUACCGCAAACCGACACAGGUAGUCAAGAUGAGAAUUCUAAGGUGAGCGAGCGAACUCUCGUUAAGGAACUCGGCAAAAUGACCCCGUAACUUCGGGAGAAGGGGUGCUCUUUAGGGUUAACGCCCAGAAGAGCCGCAGUGAAUAGGCCCAAGCGACUGUUUAUCAAAAACACAGGUCUCUGCUAAACCGUAAGGUGAUGUAUAGGGGCUGACGCCUGCCCGGUGCUGGAAGGUUAAGAGGAGUGGUUAGCUUCUGCGAAGCUACGAAUCGAAGCCCCAGUAAACGGCGGCCGUAACUAUAACGGUCCUAAGGUAGCGAAAUUCCUUGUCGGGUAAGUUCCGACCCGCACGAAAGGCGUAACGAUUUGGGCACUGUCUCAACGAGAGACUCGGUGAAAUCAUAGUACCUGUGAAGAUGCAGGUUACCCGCGACAGGACGGAAAGACCCCGUGGAGCUUUACUGUAGCCUGAUAUUGAAAUUCGGCACAGCUUGUACAGGAUAGGUAGGAGCCUUUGAAACGUGAGCGCUAGCUUACGUGGAGGCGCUGGUGGGAUACUACCCUAGCUGUGUUGGCUUUCUAACCCGCACCACUUAUCGUGGUGGGAGACAGUGUCAGGCGGGCAGUUUGACUGGGGCGGUCGCCUCCUAAAAGGUAACGGAGGCGCUCAAAGGUUCCCUCAGAAUGGUUGGAAAUCAUUCAUAGAGUGUAAAGGCAUAAGGGAGCUUGACUGCGAGACCUACAAGUCGAGCAGGGUCGAAAGACGGACUUAGUGAUCCGGUGGUUCCGCAUGGAAGGGCCAUCGCUCAACGGAUAAAAGCUACCCCGGGGAUAACAGGCUUAUCUCCCCCAAGAGUUCACAUCGACGGGGAGGUUUGGCACCUCGAUGUCGGCUCAUCGCAUCCUGGGGCUGUAGUCGGUCCCAAGGGUUGGGCUGUUCGCCCAUUAAAGCGGUACGCGAGCUGGGUUCAGAACGUCGUGAGACAGUUCGGUCCCUAUCCGUCGUGGGCGUAGGAAAUUUGAGA